GACGAACGCUGGCGGCGUGCCUAAUACAUGCAAGUCGAACGCUUUUUCUUUCACCGGAGCUUGCUCCACCGAAAGAAAAAGAGUGGCGAACGGGUGAGUAACACGUGGGUAACCUGCCCAUCAGAAGGGGAUAACACUUGGAAACAGGUGCUAAUACCGUAUAACACUAUUUUCCGCAUGGAAGAAAGUUGAAAGGCGCUUUUGCGUCACUGAUGGAUGGACCCGCGGUGCAUUAGCUAGUUGGUGAGGUAACGGCUCACCAAGGCAACGCUGGAUAGCCGACCUGGGAGGGUGAUCGGCCACACCGGGACUGAGACACGGCCCAGACUCCUACGGGAGGCAGCAGUAGGGAAUCUUCGGCAAUGGACGAAAGUCUGACCGAGCAACGCCGCGUGAGUGAAGAAGGUUUUCGGAUCGUAAAACUCUGUUGUUAGAGAAGAACAAGGAUGAGAGUAAAAUGUUCAUCCCUUGACGGUAUCUAACCAGAAAGCCACGGCUAACUACGUGCCAGCCGCCGCCGUAA
Molecule: ribosomal RNA, 523 nt
Filed under: uncultured bacterium
Lineage: Bacteria
Description: partial 16S ribosomal RNA
Rfam family: Bacterial small subunit ribosomal RNA
Source: RNAcentral